CGGGAUCGGAUGAAGAUCCUUUUCCUGUUUUCGGUUACAUUGGCUGAUCCUUUGGCACCUUCCCCUGGCAACUUCUUUAGUGGUUCAGAGUCAUCAACAACCUCUGCAGAUGUACAAUGGUGCUGCUUCAUUUUAUUCUUGUGCCCCUCUGUUUCCUCUAUCUCUGCCUGCAUCUUAUCCAUCACUAGUUUAAGCUCUUCUGGCUUCUUUUCAUUUAAAGAGGAUGAAUGGGGCGUUUCCUUUAUUCCUCCCUGCCCAAUCUUAUGUGCCUGAUUCUUACCGGAGAUGGGCUUGAGAGAGCUGAAGAUAGUAGAGUCAACAGCGAACUUGCCAACGCCGGUGAGAAAUUGGAUGAUCUUCGUCCGCAGGUCACGGUGGUGAAAGCCGUCUUUUAGAUUACGAAUACGGUUGUUUCCGACGACGUCAUCCAUCUUAUCGGCCGGCGGCGAAACGAAUCAACGUGGAAGCAAAAAUAUCUGGGCUCCGAUAGUCCCUUCACGGUGGUCCGUG
Molecule: unclassified non-coding RNA, 510 nt
Filed under: Hevea brasiliensis (rubber tree)
Lineage: Eukaryota; Viridiplantae; Streptophyta; Magnoliopsida; Malpighiales; Euphorbiaceae
Source: RNAcentral